Molecule: ribosomal RNA, 253 nt
Filed under: uncultured bacterium
Lineage: Bacteria
Description: partial 16S ribosomal RNA
Rfam family: Bacterial small subunit ribosomal RNA
Source: RNAcentral
UACGGAGGGUGCAAGCGUUAUCCGGAUUCACUGGGGUUAAAGGGUGCGUAGGCGGGCAGGUAAGUCCGCGGUGAAAUCCUGGGGCUUAACCCCAGAACUGCCGUUGAUACUAUCUGUCUUGAAUACUGUGGAGGUGAGCGGAAUAUGUCAUGUAGCGGUGAAAUGCUUAGAUAUGACAUAGAACACCAAUUGCGAAGGCAGCUCACUACACAGCCAUUGACGCUGAGGCACGAAAGCGUGGGGAUCAAACAGG